RNAcentral lists this ribosomal RNA (282 nucleotides) under uncultured bacterium. Its description in RNAcentral is "partial 16S ribosomal RNA". It matches the Rfam family "Bacterial small subunit ribosomal RNA", at positions 337 to 616 of the family's 1533-position model. The record is from RNAcentral.
UCCUACGGGGCGCAGCAGUGAGGAAUAUUGGUCAAUGGACGGGAGUCUGAACCAGCCAUGCCGCGUGCAGGAAGACGGCUCUAUGAGUUGUAAACUGCUUUUGUACAAGGGUAAACCUGAAUACGUGUAUUCAGCUGAAAGUACUGUACGAAUAAGGAUCGGCUAACUCCGUGCCAGCAGCCGCGGGAAUACGGAGGAUCCAAGCGUUAUCCGGCUUUAUUGGGUUUAAAGGGUGCGUAGGCGGGUUGAUAAGUUCGAGGUGAAGUGUCGGAGCUUAACUCG